RNAcentral lists this transfer RNA (56 nucleotides) under Trichuris sp. 2 ARS-2017. RNAcentral's name for it is "tRNA-Tyr". The record is from RNAcentral. Lineage: Eukaryota; Metazoa; Nematoda; Enoplea; Trichinellida; Trichuridae.
GAUAGUUACCUAUACGGUAAAACUGUAAAUUUUAUUUGUUAGGAAAAUAAUUAUCA